This 254-nucleotide ribosomal RNA is filed under the name uncultured bacterium. RNAcentral's name for it is "partial 16S ribosomal RNA". It matches the Rfam family "Bacterial small subunit ribosomal RNA", at positions 524 to 776 of the family's 1533-position model. The record is from RNAcentral.
UACGUAGGGGGCAAGCGUUGUCCGGAUUUAUUGGGCGUAAAGAGCGUGUAGGCGGCCAGACAGGUCCGUUGUGAAAACUCGAGGCUCAACCUCGAGACGCCGAUGGAAACUGUCUGGCUAGAGUCCGGAAGAGGAGAGUGGAAUUCCUGGUGUAGCGGUGAAAUGCGCAGAUAUCAGGAGGAACACCAAUGGCGAAGGCAGCUCGCUGGGACGUGACUGACGCUGAGACGCGAAAGCGUGGGGGAGCAAACAGG